This is a long non-coding RNA of Equus caballus (horse), 2687 nucleotides long. The record is from Ensembl. NCBI's taxonomy places the organism in Eukaryota, Metazoa, Chordata, Mammalia, Perissodactyla, Equidae.
GUGGGAUUAGUGUCUUUAUAAAAGAGACUCCAGAGAGAUCCCUUGACCCCUUCCUCCAUGUUAAGACACAGGAAGAAGAAAGCCCUCUGUGAAGAAGGAACCCACUCUCACUAGACACUGAAUCUGCCAAUGCCUUGAUCUUGGACUUCUUAGCCUCCAGAAUUGCAUGGCUAGUUCAUGUGGUCCAAACCAGCAGUUCCAAGGCGUCUGUGAGUGUCACCUGAAGUGGGGACCAACCUGGAAGAACAUCAGCACACAAGGCUUUCAUUGGAACUGAAACUGCUGCUGGGCCAGCAGGUACAAUGGAAGCGCAGCGUUUCUAGGAGGCCGAUACUCAACCAGAACACGUUGUGAUCAGCACUCAUGUAGCUUUCUUCACCUGCAAGCUCAUUUAACAGCUUUCCAAGAAUACGUAAAUCAGGUUUUCCCUGGACAGUGAGGACUCAUCCUACGGAUUGGAAGCUGAAGUAGACCAGAAGCCAUCUAACAUUUCUUCCAAUCCUGGAAUUCUAUGAUGCUAUGAAAAUCAAGUUAUUGUAAGAGGUUCUGAUAUUAGGGGCUCCAUGAGUAUUCUUGAAUGGAUGAAAUCAGUAGACAUUAUUUGCAGCAUCUACGCUAUCUUUAGAAUUACUUUCAUGUCUGACUUUUUUGCAAGUCUGAUAACAUCCCUCCUGUGGAAACAACGCUUCUGAGACUUUCCAUGGUCUUUGGAAUUUACUGGGGUUUGUAAGACCCGCCAUGAUCUGCUCCCAACUCCUCUUCAGCCUUCUCUGUGGUUCAGACGAGAGGAACCACCAGCCUUCCCUAGACAGGCCGCAAGCUCUUCAGUCUCCUUUUCUGGUCGAGCUGACCUUACUUGAAAGGCAAUGCUGUGCUGAGUGGAAACAUAUUCAGACAGAACCUUGAUGGUACUGAAAUAAACCCUGGUGGGGUUCAGGCAGGGUGAUGUGUCGCUCCAACAGAAGUCCUCAAGCUUAACUCGCCUCCUUAGCCCUCUGGAACACGUAAACAACACCCCAAGUGUACUGAAGUCAGACCACCUUGCCAGAACUAAGAAAACUUCUGCAGACUCAUCAGCUAAGUAAUCAAUCAAUUUUCCUUGAUUAUUUCAAUCCUGGGCCCCAUCUCUUCUUUUUAUACAUGUCUGCCAUUAAUCUUGGGCAUUAUUUUCCUAAAUAAGCAAGCUUUCUUCCCAUGUCUAAUCUCUUUGUUGGUUCUCUUAGUAUAACAGUUCCUAAGACACAUAGUAUGGUCUAUCCAUAUUUAAAAAAGCAUGGCUGAUACCAAAGCUUGUUUAUGUCCAUGAGACUAGUCAAUAGUGACAUAAGUGUAUAGAAAAACAAAUCUUGCUCAUUUUUGAACCUUGGAGAAAAAUUAUACCCUAAAAAACAUGUAUCCACUGUUUUUUUUCUUUUUUGCAUGGCCUUCUGGGAGGAGCGUCUACUUCACUCAGAGGAUUCGUGCACAGGCCCAUGCUCCUUGAUGGAGAAAGCAAACUCUGGAGCCUGGUGGGAGAGGGAAAGAGGCCCUGAGCGCCAGGGGAGGGAAAAGAGAGGCGGAAGGGAAAAGAAAGCCUGCAAUGAAGUCAUGAAAAUCUCCAUUUAUAGAGAUGCUCUACUUGAGUGUUUUGUUCAACAUCAUCUGUGAGAAGGAAUAUGAGUUUUUCCUCAAGGCCCUCUCUCACGUCAGAAGAUACACUAAAGCAGUUCCCUUAGUGAAUGAUUUAUCUGGAUUCAUCUGAUAGGGACCGAGUCAUUCAAAAGAAACUAUGACAGUGGAAGAGAGUGAGCUUAAAAUUUCAUCAUAAAGCCCUGAUCAUCCCACAGGUGGGGCUCAUGGAAAUUAGAUCAGUGGAGAAAAAAUAAAGACGUAGCAUUUCAUUGCACAGCUGAGCACAGUGUGUGAGGAAGUCUGCACUCCUGUUACACCUAUAUAAGCACAGGUCCUGCACCCAGGAGAUCCAAGCCAGGUCACACCACAGCAGGCCCGGCCCUCAGCGCUGGGAUCCACCUGCUGACUUGAACCUGGGGCCCAGCUUGCCCUGGGUGGAACACUAGGCAUCUUCCUGCACUUUGGGUUCAGCAUCCUUUCCUGCUUCCAAGCUUUUGCGUCAGUCUGACUUUCCUUUCAUGCUCACUCCUCACCAGCACUGAAGACCUGCUCUGAACCCCUCGACUUCCCCCCUGCCUGCUUCCUAAGAGUGCCUUCUCCAUAAGGACUGACCGUCCUCAUCUUCUCAGAUGAUGCCUAAGAUAUCUGCUUUUACCAGACAACAAAGAGGCUGUCUUUGACCUAACAAAAUAUUGCUGCUUUCCGGACAACCCCCGCCACCUUGUGGCACCCCAGGCAGGAUAAACAUUAACUGUGGCCUCUUGAAUGCUCUAACUUACCUUACUGACUUCCUGCGGGCCAAUAUACCUUCAUAUUAGUUCAAAUUAGCCAUGGACCCAUCUCGUCCCAAUUUAUUCCUGCUGAGUGCACCACUGGGCCCACUGCUGGGGGCUAUGACUACUAGAUAGAAAAGCAAAUACAAAUCGCAGUCUAGAUUAAAUUAGGAUCAUAUAAAUUAAGAUUUAAGGGGAAAGGUGCUAGAUUGUAUUUUGGUAUUUAUUUCUUUAUAAGCCCAAAAUGUUAAUUUGCUUUAUUAUUCAAGAACUUUUUUUUUUUUUGCUGGCAAAGAUUCACAC